RNAcentral lists this long non-coding RNA (535 nucleotides) under Daphnia magna. Its description in RNAcentral is "uncharacterized LOC123475722, transcript variant X1". Lineage: Eukaryota; Metazoa; Arthropoda; Branchiopoda; Diplostraca; Daphniidae. The record is from RNAcentral.
UGGGCGCAUCGUGACUUCAUAGUUUUUUUUGUCUGCUGCUAUUCAUCGACGUACUCCACGCUCAAUUCUUGUUUUCGUUAAGCCGGUUAAGCCAGUUGUUAAGGUCAUUGCAAAAUUUAUACAAUGGCUUACGGGUAAUUUUUUAUGUACUAUUUAAACUACGUAAUUGUAUGAGUAUUAGUUGAGAAUGAUCCGCAUUUUGAAGACAAUAGUGUUUUUUAAAUGUAUAUUAUGAUGAUGUUUUGUCGUCAUUAUAGGGAUGUGUGCAACCAACAUUUAAUCUGCUUCCAGAUAUCUGUGUGAUAUCUAGCUUGGUGUGCAUGUAUACUACUUCAACACAAUGAACCAGUGAAAUUGGAAAGAAAGAUGUAUUCUGCCAACAAGAGUAAUAGAACGUUGACAACCUGAAACCCUCGUUUUUUCUUUGUAUAGUAUUCCCCGCAAGAGGGUACGGUACCCCUUUUCUGAGAGGGGAACUAGCAUGGACUACUAUAACUUAAGGACGGGAUUCUUCGACAAUUCUUAUGUCGGCCAU